AUACGUAGGUGGCAAGCGUUGUCCGGAAUUAUUGGGCGUAAAGCGCAUGUAGGCGGUUUGGUAAGUCGGUCGUGAAAAUGCGGUGCUUAACGCCGUAUGGCGAUCGAAACUGCUGAACUUGAGUGCAGGAGAGGAAAGGGGAACUCCCAGGGUAGCGGUGGAAUGCGUAGAGAUUGGGAGGAACACCAGUGGCGAAGGCGACUUACUGGACUGUAACUGACGCUGAGGCGCGAAAGUGUGGGGAGCAAACAGGAUUAGAUACCCUGGUAGUCCACACUGUAAACGAUGAAUGCUAGGUGUAGGGGGUAUCGACCCCUUCUGUGCCGCAGUCAACACAAUAAGCAUUCCGCCUGGGGAGUACGGCCGCAAGGUUGAAACUCAAAUGAAUUGGCGGGG
RNAcentral lists this ribosomal RNA (396 nucleotides) under uncultured bacterium. RNAcentral's name for it is "partial 16S ribosomal RNA". It matches the Rfam family "Bacterial small subunit ribosomal RNA", at positions 523 to 918 of the family's 1533-position model. The record is from RNAcentral.